This 29-nucleotide small RNA is filed under the name Bombyx mori (domestic silkworm). RNAcentral describes it as "ovarian small RNA-946". The record is from RNAcentral. Lineage: Eukaryota; Metazoa; Arthropoda; Insecta; Lepidoptera; Bombycidae.
UUUAACAUUAUUUGGGGGACGACCACGUU